Molecule: ribosomal RNA, 484 nt
Filed under: uncultured bacterium
Lineage: Bacteria
Description: partial 16S ribosomal RNA
Rfam family: Bacterial small subunit ribosomal RNA
Source: RNAcentral
AUUGAACGCUGGCGGCAGGCCUAACACAUGCAAGUCGAGCGGAUGAAGGGAGCUUGCUCCUGGAUUCAGCGGCGGACGGGUGAGUAAUGCCUAGGAAUCUGCCUGGUAGUGGGGGAUAACGUCCGGAAACGGGCGCUAAUACCGCAUACGUCCUGAGGGAGAAAGUGGGGGAUCUUCGGACCUCACGCUAUCAGAUGAGCCUAGGUCGGAUUAGCUAGUUGGUGGGGUAAAGGCCUACCGAGGCGACGAUCCGUAACUGGUCUGAGAGGAUGAUCAGUCACACUGGAACUGAGACACGGUCCAGACUCCUACGGGAGGCAGCAGUAGGGAAUAUUGGACAAUGGGCGAAAGCCUGAUCCAGCCAUGCCGCGUGUGUGAAGAAGGUCUUCGGAUUGUAAAGCACUUUAAGUUGGGAGGAAGGGCAGUAAGUUAAUACCUUGCUGUUUUGACGUUACCAACAGAAUAAGCACCGGCUAACUUCGUG